RNAcentral lists this ribosomal RNA (425 nucleotides) under bacterium. Its description in RNAcentral is "bacterial SSU rRNA". It matches the Rfam family "Bacterial small subunit ribosomal RNA", at positions 354 to 776 of the family's 1533-position model. The record is from RNAcentral. RNAcentral also lists the same sequence under 1 other name.
GUGAGGAAUAUUGGUCAAUGGGUGCAAGCCUGAACCAGCCAUCCCGCGUGAAGGACGACUGCCCUAUGGGUUGUAAACUUCUUUUGUAUAGGGAUAAACCUACCCUCGUGAGGGUAGCUGAAGGUACUAUACGAAUAAGCACCGGCUAACUCCGUGCCAGCAGCCGCGGUAAUACGGAGGGUGCAAGCGUUAUCCGGAUUUAUUGGGUUUAAAGGGUCCGUAGGCGGACUUAUAAGUCAGUGGUGAAAGCCUGUCGCUUAACGAUAGAACUGCCAUUGAUACUGUAAGUCUUGAGUAUAUUUGAGGUAGCUGGAAUAAGUAGUGUAGCGGUGAAAUGCAUAGAUAUUACUUAGAACACCAAUUGCGAAGGCAGGUUACCAAGAUAUAACUGACGCUGAGGGACGAAAGCGUGGGGAGCGAACAGG